This 306-nucleotide long non-coding RNA is filed under the name Nicotiana benthamiana. Its description in RNAcentral is "long non-coding RNA (NBEN_LNC001773)". The record is from RNAcentral. Lineage: Eukaryota; Viridiplantae; Streptophyta; Magnoliopsida; Solanales; Solanaceae.
GACCCAGAGUUAAUUUUGAGCAAAGCAGAGGGCCCUUAUUUUGCAGAUACUGCAAGAAAUCUUGGCCCUUAAUUGAUAAGUGCUACAAGAUCCACGGGUUUCCUCAAAACAUAAAAUACAACAAGGGAAGGAAAUCCGCCGUUGCUCAUAUCUCCACUUGUGAGGAAAGUGUGUCUGUUAAUCAUGGGAAUCCUAAUAUGUCUGUUUCUCUUGGGGAUCCUCCUGCCAGCCAUCACCAUGUUUCACACAUAGAUGGUCACAGCUCUGUGAUACCAGGGUUGAGCAGACACCAAUAUGAUCAAUUGA